AACGAACGCUGGCGGCAUGCCUAACACAUGCAAGUCGAACGAGACCUUCGGGUCUAGUGGCGCACGGGUGCGUAACGCGUGGGAACCUGCCCUUAGGUUCGGAAUAACUCCCCGAGAGGGGUGCUAAUACCGGAUAAUGUCUUCGGACCAAAGAUUUAUCGCCUUUGGAUGGGCCCGCGUUGGAUUAGCUAGUUGGUAGGGAAAAAGCCUACCAAGGCGACGAUCCAUAGCUGGUCUGAGAGGAUGAUCAGCCACACUGGGACUGAGACACGGCCCAGACUCCUACGGGAGGCAGCAGUGGGGAAUAUUGGACAAUGGGCGAAAGCCUGAUCCAGCAAUGCCGCGUGAGUGAUGAAGGCCUUAGGGUUGUAAAGCUCUUUUACCCGGGAUGAUAAUGACAGUACCGGGAGAAUAAGCUCCGGCUAACUCCGUG
Molecule: ribosomal RNA, 433 nt
Filed under: uncultured bacterium
Lineage: Bacteria
Description: partial 16S ribosomal RNA
Rfam family: Bacterial small subunit ribosomal RNA
Source: RNAcentral